Molecule: ribosomal RNA, 482 nt
Filed under: uncultured bacterium
Lineage: Bacteria
Description: partial 16S ribosomal RNA
Rfam family: Bacterial small subunit ribosomal RNA
Source: RNAcentral
AUUGAACGCUGGCGGCAUGCCUUACACAUGCAAGUCGAACGGCAACACGUUUUCGGCUGCUGACUAGUGGUGAAGGGGUGAGGAAUACAUCGGAAUGUGCCCGAUCGUGGUGGAUAACGGAGCGAAACGUUUGGUAAUAUCCCCUACGAUCUACGACGGACAGCAGGGGACAGCAAGGGCUCGUCGGGCCGGGGGGGCCGAUGUCAGAGUAGGUAGGUGGUGGGAGAAAGGCGUACCAAGGCGACGAUCGGUAGCUGGUCUGAGAGGACGAGCAGCCACACUGGAACUGAGACACGGCCCAGACUCCUACGGGAGGCAGCAGUGGGGAAUAUUGGACAAUGGGCGCAAGCCUGAUCCAGCCAUGCCGCGUGGGGGAUGAAGGCCUUCGGGUUGUAAAGUGCUUUUGUAGGGAAAGAAAAGAAUCUGUCUAAUAAAGAGGGUCUCUGACGGUACCGAAAGAAUAAGCACCGGCUAACUACGUG